RNAcentral lists this ribosomal RNA (437 nucleotides) under uncultured Oscillospiraceae bacterium. Its description in RNAcentral is "bacterial SSU rRNA". It matches the Rfam family "Bacterial small subunit ribosomal RNA", at positions 341 to 792 of the family's 1533-position model. Lineage: Bacteria; Bacillati; Bacillota; Clostridia; Eubacteriales; Oscillospiraceae. The record is from RNAcentral.
ACGGGAGGCAGCAGUGGGGAAUAUUGGGCAAUGGGGGAAACCCUGACCCAGCAACGCCGCGUGAAGGAAGAAGGCUUUCGGGUUGUAAACUUCUUUUACCAGGGACGAAGGACGUGACGGUACCUGGAGAAAAAGCCACGGCUAACUACGUGCCAGCAGCCGCGGUAAUACGUAGGUGGCAAGCGUUAUCCGGAUUUACUGGGUGUAAAGGGCGCGUAGGCGGGGAUGCAAGUCAGAUGUGAAAUCCAUGGGCUCAACCCAUGAACUGCAUUUGAAACUGUAUCUCUUGAGUGCUGGAGAGGUAGAUGGAAUUCCUAGUGUAGCGGUGAAAUGCGUAGAUAUUAGGAAGAACACCAGUGGCGAAGGCGAUCUACUGGACAGUAACUGACGCUGAGGCGCGAAAGCGUGGGGAGCAAACAGGAUUAGAUACCCUGGUA